RNAcentral lists this ribosomal RNA (468 nucleotides) under uncultured bacterium. RNAcentral's name for it is "partial 16S ribosomal RNA". It matches the Rfam family "Bacterial small subunit ribosomal RNA", at positions 28 to 507 of the family's 1533-position model. The record is from RNAcentral.
GACGAACGCUGGCGGCGUGCUUAACACAUGCAAGUCGAACGGAAAGGCCCUGCUUUUGUGGGGUGCUCGAGUGGCGAACGGGUGAGUAACACGUGAGUAACCUGCCCUUGACUUUGGGAUAACUUCAGGAAACUGGGGCUAAUACCGGAUAGGAGCUCCUGCUGCAUGGUGGGGGUUGGAAAGUUUCGGCGGUUGGGGAUGGACUCGCGGCUUAUCAGCUUGUUGGUGGGGUAGUGGCUUACCAAGGCUUUGACGGGUAGCCGGCCUGAGAGGGUGACCGGCCACAUUGGGACUGAGAUACGGCCCAGACUCCUACGGGAGGCAGCAGUGGGGAAUAUUGCACAAUGGGCGUAAGCCUGAUGCAGCAACGCCGCGUGCGGGAUGACGGCCUUCGGGUUGUAAACCGCUUUCGCCUGUGACGAAGCGUGAGUGACGGUAAUGGGUAAAGAAGCACCGGCUAACUACGUG